CUUAGUGGCGGACGGGUGAGUAACGCGUGGGUAACCUGCCUUACACUGGGGGAUAACACUUAGAAAUAGGUGCUAAUACCGCAUAAGCGCACGAAGCCGCAUGGAUUUGUGUGAAAAACUCCGGUGGUGUAAGAUGGACCCGCGUCUGAUUAGCUUGUUGGCGGGGUAACGGCCCACCAAGGCGACGAUCAGUAGCCAGCCUGAGAGGGUGGACGGCCACAUUGGGACUGAGACACGGCCCAAACUCCUACGGGAGGCAGCAG
This 263-nucleotide ribosomal RNA is filed under the name uncultured bacterium. RNAcentral describes it as "partial 16S ribosomal RNA". It matches the Rfam family "Bacterial small subunit ribosomal RNA", at positions 91 to 354 of the family's 1533-position model. The record is from RNAcentral.